GGCUACCGCUAUUGGAGUUCGAUUAAGCCAUGCGAGUCGCGAGUCUUAGGGACUCGGCGUACCGCUCAGUAACACGUGGGUAACCUGCCCUAUGCUGGGGGAUAACCUCGGGAAACUGAGAAUAAUACCCCAUAGUUCACCACGCCUGGAACGGUGGGUGGACCAAAGCUCCGGCGGCAUAGGAUGGGCCUGCGGCGUAUCAGGUUGUAGGGGGUGUAAUGUACCCUCUAGCCCUCUACGCGUACGGGUGUUGAGAGACAUCGCCCGGAGAUGGAUUCUGAGACACGAAUCCAGACCCCACGGGGUGCAGCAGGCGCGAAAACUUGGCAAUGCGAGAAAUCGUGACCAGGGAACUCCAAGUGCAUCGGGUAAGACCGAUGCUUUUCUUGACUCUUCAAAGGUCUUGGAAUAAGGGGUGGGUAAGGACGGUGCCAGCCGCCGCGGUAAUACCGGCGCCCCAAGUGGUAGUCGCUUUUAUUGGGCCUAAAACGUCCGUAGCCGGUCUGGUACAUUCGUGGGUAAAUCAACCAGCUCAACUGGUUGAAUUCUGCGAGCACGGCCAGACUUGGGACCGGGAGAGGUGUGGGGUACUCUCAGGGUAGGGGUAAAAUCCUGUCAUCCUGAGAGGACCACCUGUUGCGAAGGCGCCACACUAGAACGGAUCCGACGGUCAGGGACGAAGCCUAGGGGCACGAACCGGAUUAGAUACCCGGGUAGUCCUAGGUGUAAACGCUGUGGACUUGAUGUUGGGGGCGCUCCGAGCGCACUCAGUGUCGAAGCGAAGGUGAUAAGUCCACUGCCUGGGGAGUACGGUCGCAAGGCUGAAACUUAAAGGAAUUGGCGGGGGAGCACCGCAACCUGAGGAUUGUGCGGUUU
This 876-nucleotide ribosomal RNA is filed under the name uncultured archaeon. RNAcentral describes it as "bacterial SSU rRNA". It matches the Rfam family "Archaeal small subunit ribosomal RNA", at positions 22 to 903 of the family's 1478-position model. The record is from RNAcentral.